AAUCCUGAGCUUCUGUUAAAUAAAAUACAAUAUACAACAUUCAGAGAAAGAGAAUUACAGAAUUUGAGAACUGAAAGAUAUUUUGGCAACCAUUUAAUCCAAAUUACAGUAAAUACAAAAGGAAUCCCCAUGAUAGCCUGCCUGGGAAAGAGCUUGUCACUUUGGAUUAACAAUUGCACAAGUCUCCAUGCUGAGCCAAGCACUGAAGAAAUAUUAAAUGGCUCAAGGACUCCUGAAGCUCAGCUUUCCUAAAAGAAGGGACAUUCUCCAAACUUAAGGAUAAGCGAUGGAUAAUGAGAGGGAGAGACACACACAGGCUUCAUAUUAAGAAAAAAUUUCCUGGAUAUGGCAAUUGUCCUAAGAGGAGGUGCAAAAGGAGGCAUCAGACCAUAGUGAAUGCAUAUCUCCAUCACACUGAAAACACACUUACAGCAGACAACUUUUCUUGGGGUCAUUCUUGCAAAGUGGAGGCUGGUGGAGAAUCUGCUGACUGGACCCGAGACAUGAUGAGUGAAAGGCUGACUCCUUUCAUAUUGUAUUUUCUGAAGAGACUAGCCUCAGGAGAGAUUUCCCCAAGUCCUCAGCUUUGCUGAGGCCUAAGGACUAACUCCCUGCCCAUGUUGAGCCAGGGGCUGGUAGUAAAUUACUUAGUGCUUAGGCUAGAUAUCUUACCCUAUUCUCUCUCUGAUUUUCUUACUUCACUCUUUCUAUACUUUCUAUACAAAUAAAUUAUAAAUAAAUCCCUUUUGAAAUACA
Long non-coding RNA from Monodelphis domestica (gray short-tailed opossum), 756 nucleotides. NCBI's taxonomy places the organism in Eukaryota, Metazoa, Chordata, Mammalia, Didelphimorphia, Didelphidae. The record is from Ensembl.